Molecule: ribosomal RNA, 238 nt
Filed under: Dentiscutata savannicola
Lineage: Eukaryota; Fungi; Glomeromycota; Glomeromycetes; Diversisporales; Gigasporaceae
Description: partial 18S ribosomal RNA
Rfam family: Eukaryotic small subunit ribosomal RNA
Source: RNAcentral
CGCUCUUCAACGAGGAAUCCCUAGUAAGCAUGAGUCAUCAGCUCAUGCUGAUUACGUCCCUGCCCUUGUACACACCGCCCGUCGCUACUACCGAUUGAAUGGCUUAGUGAGACCCUCGGAUUGACGUGUAGAAAUCUUCACGGGUAUCUACUUGUUGAGAAGUUGGUCAAACUUGGUCAUUUAGAGGAAGUAAAAGUCGUAACAAGGUUUCCGUAGGUGAACCUGCGGAAGGAUCAUU